GUUUUGCAGUCUGAUGGUUGUUCUUCAAACAAUAGCAGGGCUGUUAGCUCAGGAGAGGAAGUGCUAGAGUUGUUAACCAGCAUUGUUUGCUCAGAUUAUACAUUCCUAGACUUAAAAGAAUUUCCCCAUUGGUUAACCUAUUUACUUCUGAGUCCAGUUUAAAAUGCUGGUGCUUCACUUUAAAGCCUUAGACAGCUUGAGAUGCAAGUACCUUCUCUCAUCAGCAUCUUAAAAAGCAGAGAAAAUCACCUUGCCAACGAAGGUCCGUAUAGUUAAAGCCAUGGUUUUCCCGGUAGUGAUGUAUGGAAGUGAGAGCUGGACCAUAAAGAAGGUUGAUCGCCGAAGAAUUGAUGCUUUUGAAUUAUGGUGCUGGAGGAGACUCUUGAGAGUCCCAUGGACUGCAAGAAGACCAAACCUAUCCAUUCUGAAGGAAAUCAGCCCUGGAAGGACAGAUCCUGAAGCUGAGGCGCCAAUACUUCGGCCACCUCAUGAGAAGAGAAGACUCCCUGGAAAAGACCCUGAUGUUGGGAAAGAUUGAGGGCACAAGGAGAAGGGGACGACAGAGGAUGAGAUGGUUGGACAGUGUUCUCGAAGCCACAAACAUGAGUCUGACCAAACUGCGGGAGGCAGUGGAAGACAGGAGUGCCUGGCGUGCUCUGGUCCAUGGGGUCACGAAGAGUCGGACACGACUAAACAACUCAACAAAACAACCUUCUCUCAUACCAAGUGGAUGCUCUUCUCCAAAGAGUAGUGGAGGUAUGCCUCCUGGUAUCAGCAUCCUUGCUGGGGUUUUUUUUAGGCAUCUUGCGAAAACUUUUCUUUAUUCACCCAGGCAAUUUAAAACAUUUUUACUUUCUUGGGUCUUUAUUUCUGCUUUUUUUCUGCUUGCUGUUUUGAGUGAAUUUCUUAUUUUCUAUUUUUGUAUAUCUUCUUGAAAUCUUUGAUAAAAAGGAGAAUACACAUGGUUUAAAUUAUUAAAUGGAGCUGCCAGCUUCUUAGACAACUGUCAUGACUUGUGACUCUUGAAUAUAAUCUUUCUUAUCCGGCAUAACACAAUUGGAUUAAUUGUUCAUGUAUACAAAGGCUGUUAUUUUCAACAUUAACCCAAACUUUGCCUUAACCAGCAGUGAAAGUGAAUUUUGACGUUGCGUAUGGAGUACUACAUCCUUUAGCAGUGACAUAAUAUACUUUUUGAACGUAAACCUUUCUGACAAUUUUUAUGGACUGUGUUCAAAGAGUGGCCAGGUUUGCACCUAAUGAGAAGCCAGAGUUAAACCAAACAAUGACUUAACAGGGAACAAACAAAUGGGUCUGGUGCAUGCUGCUCAAAUCCUGCUUCUCCCCAUCCCUGUCUUCACCAUGCUGGGUGGAAACAAGCAAGAAUAACCCAAAGAUGAACCAUGGUUUUUCUCCUGGGGUGGUACUAGGGGUAUAGAGGCAUGAUUACACCAAGCAGCUUAUACCAGCAUAUUUGUAAAUUCCUGGUUAAGCCAUUAUUUAAGACUGGCAUGCGUUUAUGUGCGAGCCAGGACAACAUGUCAAGAAAGUUCACUGCUGCAUUGCUUAUAGGACAUGGGCCCGGUCCAUCAUUGUGUUAGGAUAUGCUGCAGUUGUUCAGUUUGGGGAGGAGGAGGAGGGGAGAGUCAGAGACUCUCUGUACAUGGGCAGAGAUGCUUCUCUUUAUAAUGUGUUAUUACUUGGUGAAAGGGGGGGUAUAGCCAGGGGCAGACCUUGGUAAUAUGCCACCCUGUGGAAAAGUGGCAGGAGGACUCCAUGGCCAUGCCAGUGCCCUCAGACCCUCACUUCCCGAAGCAGGGCAAGUGCUUACGGGAUUUUGAGAAGGCUCUCUUCUUGGCUGCACACCCGGUAUGACUGCACUGCUCACCCUGCCCCCAACAGAGCCAAAGAUCAGCACAGUAAGGCUGUUUGCACCACAAGGGCUAAGACCCUGAGAUAUUCAUGAAGCAGACCAUUAUGUUCAGAAGCAAUUGCUUGUUCACCCUCUUGGUUUAUCUGCUCAUAUUUUCAGAUUUGUGGUAGUUUCGGUUAAAUGUACGGCUCAGAUACGUUGUAAUGUUUGGAUGGAAUCCUUUAGGAGGGAAAUGCUCCUCCCCACCCCCAUCUCAGGUGGGGGUUUUUUGGUAACAUGUGAACUUGCAGGGGAAUAUAGUUUGAUACAUCCCAGCACAUAUGCCUCUUGGUACCCAGUCACGGACUACACCCAUCAGCAAAUCCUUUGCUCAAUGUGAUUUUAAGCAGCCCCACCUCCUGCAAGGCCUCUCCAUCACCCUGGCAGAUAAGGCUAACGGCAGUCUUUCUGUGUACCCCUUUUCGCCCCAAUCCAUUUCCCCCCAACCUUUGCAAGCAUGCUUUCUUUUCCUGUUAUCCAAGGGAGGGGAAGCAAAAAAGAGAGAAGAACAACUGUAUAAAAAUGUUAAUUUAUUAAUCAUUGCCUAUAUAGCAGUUCAUCUGAAAUGCUGUUGCUAUGCCAACACCCUGGGAGUUUAUUUUCUUAAUCCAAGUGAGGAGCUCCCGGUCUCUUGGCCCCCUGCUGUGUCAUUUGAAUAUGGUGGUGCUGCUGCUGCCGCCACCACUGCUGUAAGGGGGGGCGGGAAGAGAGGGAGAGGGAGGGAAAGAGAUGGGGGGGGGGAGAGAAGGAGGAAAAGGAGGCUAAACCACCAAAGCAGUCAAAUGCAAAGCAGUAAGAGGCCUUUCUCAGUACGACUUAGUAAAAAUGACACAAAUUAAUAUACUCUACUUAAACCAGACCAAGAUUAAUGGUUCUCUAUCAGAGCUGCUUAGUCCAACUGUCACUCGGCAAGCACGCGUCGGACAAAAUCAACACUAAUCAACAUUUAUUCCUCUCUUGCCCUUGGGUCCGAGGAGGGAGAGAGGGCUGCGGCGUUCUCCCGCUUGUCUCGCCACGCUUUUCACCCUCUAUCCAGCUUUGCCAUAUAUCACCCUUCCUCGCUGUGCCUCUCCUUGUACAGAUCCACACACUCAGCUAUCAGACAACAUUAGAGGCAUGAUAGAUUUUCUGUUUUAAUUUACAUCUAUUAUAUUACAACAUAACAGUUCUUGAUUCAGGGGAGGCUAGUGUCUCCUAUAGAUGGCCUCAACGGGAGGAUUUCUGCAUUAACUUAUUAGGGCUGGUUAGAAUGGGCUUUCAAAUAGACUCCCCGCCCCCCACCCCUGCCUCUCUCAUGCUCUUCCUUGCAUGGUCAGUGAAGACACUUUGCUGCUGCCGCCCGUCCAGGAGUACUUGGACUGGUAUGCAUUGCUUUUCUUCACGAAGCUGGAUGUUGUGCUUCGGCUGCCUUUUUAAAGGAGCACAGUGCCGAAGUGGAAUUUGACACAUGCAAAAGCGCAUAUUAAUAUCAGGGGAAAUAAUUUAAGAGGGUUGUGUGCAGGUCCUGGGGAAGUUCCUGGUGCCGUGUGCCCAAUGGCACUUCCUGAGGCUUACUUUUUACUUCAUCACUGUGUUUAUCUAGAUUGAUAGCCCACCCAUUUUAGCGUUUUUAGCCCCUCCCCCCUGGAUCAUUCCAGCACCCCCCCGGGGGGCGGUAUCACCCACUUCGGGAAACACUGAUCUAAAUCAUAUCUGUGGUUUUAUUGAUACUUUCAUCCUUUUUACAGUGAAUUGUUUUUUGCUUUGACUGUAAGUUACCUGAAAUAUAUAUAUUGUAGAAACACAGUGUAUAAAUUUAAAAACUAAAUACAGUAACUACUAAACCAGCAACUAAUAAAUCAAGCACAGAACGCUCCCCAGCUGAGUAAGCAAGGCCCUGCUAGGAACAGACUAUUUUUCUAAAUGCCAAAUGGGGUUUUUCUGGCUUUCUGAGAUUUCAUUGACGGCCUUACUGGUAUUUGCCCAAGGUGGAAUACAAACCUAAAAGUACCUUAAGAUAACCAGAAUUUCGCACAACCGUAAUAAUAAUUCAUGCUGGCAGCAAAGCAUAAUCAUAAGCAGCAAUGAAAAAAACAAUUUAGAAGAUUUGAGAAAAGAUGGAUUUUUAUUUUGUUUAUUUUUACUAGCUUGGCAUACAGGAAUUUGCCUUUCCCAUUUUGCCCCCUCCCCUCUGGUUUGGGUAGGAGAUUUUGGCUAUUUUGCAGGUUCUGGCUGAAGGGGUGCUGGCCAAUCAAACCUGACUUUUUCAAAAAGAAGAGUUUGCCAAUACCCAUUUUUGCCAAGGGGUAGUACAUAUACAAAAGACACAGCUUGCGUGCUUCUGUGUGUAGGGGUCUACAAAAUGGGUACCACAACAGAGAAGACCAUGCCUUACCUAUUAGAUGCUCUCAGCUCAUGUGUGUUGGCGGCACGCACAGCGAACUUUUCGUGUGAAGGUUAAGUAUGUUGGAUUUAGUGGACUCCUAGGACACAAACCUGUGAGUUAGACCUGUGGAAGAUCCCAACAGUGAUCUUCUGCAGCUCCCAUUUGUUUCAAUAGGACUCCCAUUGAAUCCUGCCUUUUAUCUCUCUCCCCGCCACCCACCCCUGACAGAGUUCAAUGAUAGAGCCACACUGUAUGCCCAAGUGAACAUGUUAGGUAAUUUAUAGCAUGUUUGGAGGGAAGCUGGUAACUUGCAUGUAAAUUUUGUAUUCAGCAUUAAAGUAAGUGAUGCCUACUCAAACUUUGAGCUUAAUAUAAUCACACUUU
This 4658-nucleotide long non-coding RNA is filed under the name Podarcis lilfordi (Lilford's wall lizard). The record is from RNAcentral. Lineage: Eukaryota; Metazoa; Chordata; Lepidosauria; Squamata; Lacertidae.